CUUAAAGAAAUAUGUAGUCCGUUACAAUCAAAUUAUACUGAAACUUAAAUUAGAUACUCAUAUAGUUGAAUUACAAGCACUCUUAGCAAACUGGUAAUAAAAUCCUAAUAACGAUCUGUACCAAGCUUUUGGUAAAAAGGGACUGCUCCGCUUUGGUAACAACGAAUAUUACUAGGUUUAUUACUGGGAGGUACAUAUGCAUGUCCACACACUGGUUACGUUCAUUUGUACUGCUUGGUAAAUAUCUUUAACUAUCAGGUUAUAAUUUAUUACAAUUUGGUAAUGAAUCGUUCUUCGUAACCACUUCGAAAUAAGACGUAUUACUGGGCGGUAAAUAGUUUUUACCGGUCGGAAGAGUUGAGUGGUACAAUUGGGUAGAAAAACCUUUCAGUCACAUGUAAGCGAGUCUGUUGCCUAGCAAUACGUCCAACAAGAAUAAACUUGUGCAAGUUUCCAGCUUAUUGAGAGGAUAGAAGCUUGCAAUUUUGAGGAAUUUAUUUCUAGAGCGCUGACAAAGUUUAAUCUGCUCCCUGACGUAGAUCCAGUGACUUUCAGAAGAUCCAGUCCUUUGAGAACGAUCAAGUGACUGAAGUCGAUAAUUUAUCCUGCCCCCCCCCCCACUCAACAUAGCCAUCCAUCGGGUCAUCGUCAAAUCACCAUUAGGAGGAAAAUAAUUUCAGAUUUUAAAUCCUUUGUCGCAUAAUUAACUGAUUAAGUCGCCGACAGCAAUACAACGGCCUGUUUUCGACCGUGCAGCUGCAACAAUUAGUAAAAUUAAAGAUAUAAAUUAAAUAUACAUAAAUAUUAUAAUGCUAUUUUAAAUGAAAAAUAAAUUUAUAUUAAUUUUUACCACCA
Molecule: long non-coding RNA, 855 nt
Organism: Folsomia candida
Lineage: Eukaryota; Metazoa; Arthropoda; Collembola; Entomobryomorpha; Isotomidae
Exons: 4
Source: RefSeq, a predicted model, not a curated record